CUUCCCUCUGGCGAGUAGUUCUAAAAUUAUGGACGGCGGCAGAUAGUCUUAAUAGGUUUGUCAUAAACACAAAUACCAAAAUAAUUGAUGUU
Molecule: long non-coding RNA, 92 nt
Organism: Limulus polyphemus (Atlantic horseshoe crab)
Lineage: Eukaryota; Metazoa; Arthropoda; Merostomata; Xiphosura; Limulidae
Exons: 3
Source: RefSeq, a predicted model, not a curated record